This 561-nucleotide ribosomal RNA is filed under the name uncultured Actinomycetes bacterium. RNAcentral's name for it is "bacterial SSU rRNA". It matches the Rfam family "Bacterial small subunit ribosomal RNA", at positions 346 to 916 of the family's 1533-position model. Lineage: Bacteria; Bacillati; Actinomycetota; Actinomycetes. The record is from RNAcentral.
AGGCAGCAGUGGGGAAUAUUGCACAAUGGGCGAAAGCCUGAUGCAGCGACGCCGCGUGAGGGAUGACGGCCUUCGGGUUGUAAACCUCUUUCAGCAGGGAAGAAGCGAAAGUGACGGUACCUGCAGAAGAAGCGCCGGCUAACUACGUGCCAGCAGCCGCGGUAAUACGUAGGGCGCAAGCGUUGUCCGGAAUUAUUGGGCGUAAAGAGCUCGUAGGCGGCUUGUCACGUCGGUUGUGAAAGCCCGGGGCUUAACCCCGGGUCUGCAGUCGAUACGGGCAGGCUAGAGUUCGGUAGGGGAGAUCGGAAUUCCUGGUGUAGCGGUGAAAUGCGCAGAUAUCAGGAGGAACACCGGUGGCGAAGGCGGAUCUCUGGGCCGAUACUGACGCUGAGGAGCGAAAGCGUGGGGAGCGAACAGGAUUAGAUACCCUGGUAGUCCACGCCGUAAACGAUGAACACUAGGUGUAGCGGAUUUAUUCAUGUCUGCUGUGCCGUAGCUAACGCAUUAAGUGUUCCGCCUGGGGAGUACGGCCGCAAGGCUAAAACUCAAAUGAAUUGACGG